AUUCAGCUGAGGUGUUCUAAAUAGGAUGAAACGCGCGUCCUGAAU
Non-coding RNA from Schistosoma haematobium, 45 nucleotides. The record is from Rfam. NCBI's taxonomy places the organism in Eukaryota, Metazoa, Platyhelminthes, Trematoda, Strigeidida, Schistosomatidae.